This 344-nucleotide ribosomal RNA is filed under the name uncultured prokaryote. RNAcentral describes it as "partial 16S ribosomal RNA". The record is from RNAcentral.
CCCUACGGGGCGCAGCAGGCCUGGGAGAAGGUUCGAUCUCUCAUGGCCACUCAGGUUCGGAUAACGGUAUCCCUGACCAAUGACAAGGGGGAGCGCAUUCAUAUCCGGCAAACAACCGAACCCGAGCCCUAUCAUCAGAAAAUCCUCAAGGCUUUGGGAUUACCUUUAAAGCCAUUGAAGCCGAAAAGAGCUACCCUGUGAAAGAUGUAGUGACGAAAAAUUUUCCCCGUGAAGCCUAACAUAUUAACAUACCUAUAUUUUAUCUGUAUAGGUGGUAAAGAUGGGUUAAGAAUCUUCAUAGACCUGGCCGGACAGCAUGGAACGACAUUUUCCAUUUCGAGAGC